Long non-coding RNA from Phodopus roborovskii (desert hamster), 156 nucleotides. RefSeq lists it as uncharacterized. The record is from RefSeq and is a predicted model, not a curated record. The transcript is spliced from 2 exons. NCBI's taxonomy places the organism in Eukaryota, Metazoa, Chordata, Mammalia, Rodentia, Cricetidae.
GCAUGCUUGCAGAAGGAGUCUCGUGUGAAAUGGUGUAGGAAUAAGAUAAUGCCCAGCUGCCUGUUAGAUGGGUAAUCUAUUUUAAUACUGGAGUGAGUAAAUGGGUUGUUAAGGAGCUGUGCUUUUUCCCUCCUCAUUAAAAAUCUUGACAUUUAA